This 444-nucleotide ribosomal RNA is filed under the name Cladosporium herbarum. RNAcentral's name for it is "eukaryotic LSU rRNA". The stretch from base 88 to 241 matches the Rfam family "5.8S ribosomal RNA". Lineage: Eukaryota; Fungi; Ascomycota; Dothideomycetes; Cladosporiales; Cladosporiaceae. The record is from RNAcentral.
GACCCUGCCUUCGGGCGGGGGCUCCGGGUGGACACUUCAAACUCUUGCGUAACUUUGCAGUCUGAGUAAACUUAAUUAAUAAAUUAAAACUUUUAACAACGGAUCUCUUGGUUCUGGCAUCGAUGAAGAACGCAGCGAAAUGCGAUAAGUAAUGUGAAUUGCAGAAUUCAGUGAAUCAUCGAAUCUUUGAACGCACAUUGCGCCCCCUGGUAUUCCGGGGGGCAUGCCUGUUCGAGCGUCAUUUCACCACUCAAGCCUCGCUUGGUAUUGGGCAACGCGGUCCGCCGCGUGCCUCAAAUCGUCCGGCUGGGUCUUCUGUCCCCUAAGCGUUGUGGAAACUAUUCGCUAAAGGGUGUUCGGGAGGCUACGCCGUAAAACAACCCCAUUUCUAAGGUUGACCUCGGAUCAGGUAGGGAUACCCGCUGAACUUAAGCAUAUCAAUAA